Tritrichomonas musculus is the source of this 74-nucleotide non-coding RNA. The record is from the annotation of a GenBank genome assembly. Lineage: Eukaryota; Parabasalia; Tritrichomonadida; Tritrichomonadidae.
GGGUUUGUGGCUUAAUUGGAUAUAGCGUAUCCCUCCGGAGGAUGAGAUUGAGGGUUCGGAUCCCGCCAGACCCC